AUCUACGGCCAUGCCACCCUGAACAAGCCCGAUCUCGGAAGCUAAGCAGGGUCCGGUCUGGUUAGUACUUGGAUGGGAGACCACCUAGGAAGACCAGGUGCUGUAGGCA
This 109-nucleotide ribosomal RNA is filed under the name Pteropus alecto (black flying fox). Lineage: Eukaryota; Metazoa; Chordata; Mammalia; Chiroptera; Pteropodidae. The record is from RNAcentral.